GACGAACGCUGGCGGCGUGCUUAACACAUGCAAGUCGAACGAUGAAGAAGAGAAACGCGAACUUCGGUUCAAAUUUCACUUCGGAUUAGUGGCAGACGGGUGAGUAACGCGUGAGCAACCUACCUCUUACAAAGGGAUAGCCUCGGGAAACCGUGAUUAAUACCAUAUGACACAUUCAUAAGGCAUCUUAAGAAUGUUAAAGCUACGGCGGUAAGAGAUGGGCUCGCGUCCCAUUAGCUAGUUGGUGAGGUAACGGCCCACCAAGGCGACGAUGGGUAACCGGACUGAGAGGGUGAACGGUCACAUUGGAACUGAGACACGGUCCAAACUCCUACGGGAGGCAGCAGUGGGGAAUAUUGCACAAUGGAGGGAACUCUGAUGCAGCGACGCCGCGUGAGCGAUGAAGGAAUUCGUUUCGUAAAGCUCUGUUCUAUGGGAAGAAAAGGACUGUACCAUAGGAGAAAGCCCCGGCUAAAUACGUG
RNAcentral lists this ribosomal RNA (482 nucleotides) under uncultured bacterium. RNAcentral's name for it is "partial 16S ribosomal RNA". It matches the Rfam family "Bacterial small subunit ribosomal RNA", at positions 28 to 507 of the family's 1533-position model. The record is from RNAcentral.